Non-coding RNA from Pan troglodytes (chimpanzee), 148 nucleotides. It matches the Rfam family "Metazoan signal recognition particle RNA". Rfam says of the family: The signal recognition particle (SRP) is a universally conserved ribonucleoprotein. It is involved in the co-translational targeting of proteins to membranes. NCBI's taxonomy places the organism in Eukaryota, Metazoa, Chordata, Mammalia, Primates, Hominidae. The record is from Rfam.
GCUGGGCAUAGUGAUGCAUGCCUGUAGUCCCAGCUACUCGGAGUGCUGAGGCAGGAGGAUCGCUUCAACCCAGGAGGUCAAGGCUGCAGUCAGCUGAGAUGAUGCCACUGCACUCUAGCCUGGGUGACAAAGUGAGACCCUGUCUCAA